Molecule: transfer RNA, 72 nt
Filed under: Camelus dromedarius (Arabian camel)
Lineage: Eukaryota; Metazoa; Chordata; Mammalia; Artiodactyla; Camelidae
Also listed under: 1 other name
Rfam family: tRNA
About the family: Transfer RNA (tRNA) molecules are approximately 80 nucleotides in length.
Source: Rfam by way of RNAcentral
GAGGGUAUAGCUCAGUGGUAGAGUGCCUGCUUAGCAUGCAUGAGGUCCUGGGUUCAAUCCCCAGUACUGCCA